This is a non-coding RNA of Physcomitrium patens, 2814 nucleotides long. The record is from RefSeq and is a predicted model, not a curated record. Lineage: Eukaryota; Viridiplantae; Streptophyta; Bryopsida; Funariales; Funariaceae.
CAUUAUUGGCCAUCUUCCUCAAUUUCCUAACAUUGAAGUUUCAGUUUUUAAUACUAUGAAGUCAACUUAUAGUUGUAUAUUUUGUGUAUUGAAGACAAAGAUGUUGCACAAGCCUUGUUGGCAAAAGUGUUGGCACCUUAUGUAGUGUUAGGUCUCAUAAAUUUGUGGAUGUAUUUGAUACAAAUUGGCUGAUUUGGAUCCAUCCAAAAGUUCUCAUGAUAAAGAACUCAUGCUUCAGCCCAUGCAAUAAAGAAAAUAAACUCUAAACCCUAAAUCCAUUGUUUGAUUAUUUAACUAUUCAUUCAUUUAUUGAAAAGAAUGUAAUGCUUUACAUGCUUUGCCCAUUCUAUUUAUACUGUUCAAAGCUAUCCGCAAUGUGACAUCCAUGCUUGGCUCCUUCUCAAAUUUGAUGUUCCUCAUUGUUUGUUCUCCUCAAUAACAUCCACAAACUCAUACAAUUUGCUUUUUUUUUUUGUUUGUCUCUCCUCACAAACAUCCACAAACUCAUUCAAGUUGCUUUCUUUUCUGUUUGACAUGGUUCUUUGACCAAAGGUCCCAACCAGAGCAAUAAUUGAGUGUGGCCAUUGAUUCACAGUGUAAACAGGCCUUAAAUAACACCACAUAAAUGACCCUUUCAAGAUUGAUUAAAAUUACACCCAACAGCUUGUUUUUAAAUGUAACCUUUGAUCAGAACCUUCCGUAAAAAGUUUCCAUCAAGUUUUUGAAACCCACCUUUUGUUCAAGACACUCACAUCUUUAGUAGAAAUGUUCUGGAAGCUGGUCUCAUAUUCCAUCUGAGAAGGCGUAAAACCACAGCAACUGUUUAAAAAUUUUCUGUUCCUUUUUAAAUCUUUCGAACUAUAUUUUCAUAAAUAAAAAUUAGCAGUGGCAGCAGCAUGGACAGUACAAGGAGCGAAAGUUCGAAAAGCAUCCACACAAAGUAUUAGUAAAAACUCACAUGCAAUGCACUGGGUUCUGACUUCUUUUUUUAGUUUAUUUUAUUUUUGAUUCUUUUCACGUCGGCUAUUUAUUAUAGUGGCGUCAUUACAUGAUUGCAUCAUUCAACACAUUCUGCGACUUUGCAGCAGAUAUGGCGUAGUUUUUGUGUCGACGCAGAUGAUUGCUUUAUUUUCACUUUGAGCUCACAAUGAUCGGUGAUUUUAGCUUCAAAUUCUACCUCUGAAGCUGAAGAUUGGUGGCGUUGCCAAGUCUCCAUGACCGCAGAGAUUCUUCCACAUUGGUUGCGGUGCUGAGCCACCGAAAUUUCCUUGAGUGGAGGCAUUUAACCCCAUCGUUUUGGCUUCAUCGAAUAGCAGCAAAUUCAUGUGUUGUGAAGGUUGUUAACCGAAUUUCAAGUUAGCAGAAGACUUAUCAAUGGUGGUUUUUCUGUUUUGCUUCGUGGUUGGGGACAGGUUGCGAUGGCCACUUCCAUGGCUACCAGUCACUGCCGCACGAAUCUUCCUCUUUCCAGUUCCGACUCUUUUUUCAAUGCCACGGAACAAAAAAGAAACUCCUCUCCCCCUAUUUGGUGUUUGUCUAAAACAGGUGACAUAGAAGACGUAAAUGUGGAGUUAGAUGCUCAUAAUUAAGAUUCCUGGGAGCUAAGAGUCUUGAGUUCAUCACUACUUCGCGACAACAGAUAAAUUAAUACGUCAGACAGCACCGAGAACAAAAAAAUGUGAGCCACGGAAGAAAUCUCCUUAUCACAUCAACAAAGAAAAAGUAAAAUUGAUUUUUUUGAGGAAGGUUAGAAGGCAUGUCUUUAGACAGAAUUUCAGAAAGAAGAAAUGGUUGCGCAUGCACCACAUCGGUUGAAUAUGAGUUGAUUACAGAGAAGAACCCCGACACUUGAAACUAUGAGAUUCAUCCUGUAGAGUGUAUCUAGUUCACAACAUUGAAUGUAAUAUUACAACCACAUUCUUAUCGAAUUGGUCCUCUGUACCUAUUAACAGCCGGGACUGAUGCCCAAUGGGCGCUUACAGUGUCCUAGCGGUGGUGGACGAAGAAAUUUAUAGCCACAAAAGCAAUCACAAUGUCCCAUUGCUGCCAACAACUGCGAUUCUCAAGCGUUGGUUUCCAGAGCGUGGGAGAACGCUUCCAAUCUCAGCUGGAUUGAAGAAAUCAGAUGUGUUUCCAAGAGUCUUAAGAUCUUAAACCUGUCGCAAUUUCCGGUUGUGCAAAACUGAGGGCAGUCAAGAAGAUGCGAAGCAUAUACAACACCACCCAUGGAAGAUGCAACAAGUGGGUUGGAACAGCCACAUGCGCAGUUUCAAACGCCACAGAAUAGACUCAAUUUGGAUGUUUUUUUACAUAAAAGUGGGUUCUGAGUUUCACCCCAUAUCGUAUAACCUGGAAUAGAGCGUGGGCCGCUCAAUAUGAAAGCGUCGCAACUUGCUGAGUCCCCUACACAUUCUGCAUAUCUUGCGUUGAAGGGUUGCAACUGGGUAAGGCUUCUCAACGUUUCACCUUAUCUUUGGUUGCAACUGAAUGUAUCAAAUUGCAGUAAGUUGAUGCGGAUUAAAGACACGGCGCUUACUAACCUAAAUCCACUUGGAAUUCGACAAUUGUUAGAUAUAGGAACAAUUGAUCGGCUGCGCUGCAAUUGCAGUCAUGUCAAUGAUUGAUUGAUUGAUUGAUUUGCUUUAUUUUGUUUUUAUUGACACAUGGAAGAGUAAACCCCCUUGUUCUUAGAUGUCACAUUGUCCAAGGCCUUGUUCUAAAUUCAAGAAUAGCAUAAGUAACAUAAACUUUAGAGAGUGGAACUUUUUCCUAUCUCACAAUACAAUUUGUAAUUAUUAUAUCUGGUUUUGUAUU